Molecule: transfer RNA, 71 nt
Filed under: Candidatus Nomurabacteria bacterium CG10_big_fil_rev_8_21_14_0_10_35_16
Lineage: Bacteria; Candidatus Nomuraibacteriota
Description: tRNA-Thr
Rfam family: tRNA
About the family: Transfer RNA (tRNA) molecules are approximately 80 nucleotides in length. Their secondary structure includes four short double-helical elements and three loops (D, anti-codon, and T loops).
Source: RNAcentral
GCCCCUUUAGCUUAGUGGUAAAGCAAACCCUUCGUAAGGGUAAGACAUCGGUUCGAUUCCGGUAUGGGGCU